This 481-nucleotide ribosomal RNA is filed under the name Kocuria sp. AT04-06. RNAcentral's name for it is "bacterial SSU rRNA". It matches the Rfam family "Bacterial small subunit ribosomal RNA", at positions 410 to 905 of the family's 1533-position model. The record is from RNAcentral. Lineage: Bacteria; Bacillati; Actinomycetota; Actinomycetes; Micrococcales; Micrococcaceae.
GACGGCCUUCGGGUUGUAAACCUCUUUCAGCAGGGACCACAAGUGACGGUACCUGCAGAAGAAGCGCCGGCUAACUACGUGCCAGCAGCCGCGGUAAUACGUAGGGCGCAAGCGUUGUCCGGAAUUAUUGGGCGUAAAGAGCUCGUAGGCGGUUUGUCGCGUCUGCUGUGAAAGCCCGGGGCUCAACCCCGGGUCUGCAGUGGGUACGGGCAGACUAGAGUGCAGUAGGGGAGACUGGAAUUCCUGGUGUAGCGGUGAAAUGCGCAGAUAUCAGGAGGAACACCGAUGGCGAAGGCAGGUCUCUGGGCUGUUACUGACGCUGAGGAGCGAAAGCAUGGGGAGCGAACAGGAUUAGAUACCCUGGUAGUCCAUGCCGUAAACGUUGGGCACUAGGUGUGGGGGACAUUCCACGUUCUCCGCGCCGUAGCUAACGCAUUAAGUGCCCCGCCUGGGGAGUACGGCCGCAAGGCUAAAACUCAAG